RNAcentral lists this ribosomal RNA (498 nucleotides) under uncultured bacterium. Its description in RNAcentral is "bacterial SSU rRNA". It matches the Rfam family "Bacterial small subunit ribosomal RNA", at positions 28 to 526 of the family's 1533-position model. The record is from RNAcentral.
GAUGAACGCUGGCGGCGUGCUUAACACAUGCAAGUCGAACGAAGCAAUAUUACAGAAACCUUCGGGUGGAAGAAAUAUUGACUGAGUGGCGGACGGGUGAGUAACGCGUGGGUAACCUGCCUCAUACAGGGGGAUAACAGUCAGAAAUGGCUGCUAAUACCGCAUAAGCGCACGAGAUCGCAUAGUCUAGUGUGAAAAGCUCCGGCAGUAUGAGAUGGACCCGCGUCUGGUUAGCUAGUUGGUAAGGUAACGGCUCACCAUGGCGACGAUCAGUAGCCGGACUGAGAGGUCGAUCGGCCACAUUGGGACUGAGAUACGGCCCAGACUCCUACGGGAGGCAGCAGUGGGGAAUAUUGGGCAAUGGGCGAAAGCCUGACCCAGCGACGCCGCGUGGAGGAAGGAGGUUUUCGGAUUGUAAACUCCUGUCUUCGGGGAAGAUAAUGACGGUACCCGAGGAGGAAGCCACGGCUAACUACGUGCCAGCAGCCGCCGUAAUAC